RNA transcript from Gavialis gangeticus (Gharial), 7643 nucleotides. It is a transcript of the gene named ring finger protein, LIM domain interacting, with no coding region annotated. The record is from RefSeq and is a predicted model, not a curated record. NCBI's taxonomy places the organism in Eukaryota, Metazoa, Chordata, Crocodylia, Gavialidae. The transcript has 5 exons.
AAAGAUAAGACGUUAUGUUGAAUGCAUUAUUAAACUUCUGCAAUACAGAAGGAGGGUUCUUCAUCAGUGUCUCACCCCCAAGUUAGCAGAUAUUGCUUAUAUGAAGGUAUUCUGUGCAAGUACUGGCAUAUGCUCUAUUUUAAUGUAUUUGAUUCAAAUGACUUUCAAAUGUGCGUGAUCGAUGCACUUAAAGCUGUGUGGAAAACUAAUAACUGAUCAAAUUGUAAAUUGCCUUGAUUAAAAUACCGUUUUAUAGAAGACACCUUUUCCCACGAUUUUGGCAACUUGAUAUUUUUCCAGAAUUUUUUUUUUAAGACAGAGGGUAUAUGGGGGAAAUCAGCGGGGUAUAAAAUUUGAGAACUUCUGAAAUGUCAUAUCUUAAUUUCCAGGUGCAUAUUUCAAGGCUUUUCUGCAGAUGUUUUGCUUCUGCUUUGGUGCACAUUUGCACUACUUCUGUUGGAGUUAAUAGCAAUGGGAAGAGAAUAAGCUCAUAACAUAUGACAUCUUUAAAAACUUGAAAGCACAGUCCUCCAUUGUGGUUAGAACAAUUCUCUUCUACUCUUUCAUCAACAUGGAAAGCUCAGAUUCUAAUGAUAAAGGAAAUAUUGAUCAAUCAGAAGCUCAGCGUCGUAGUCAGCUGGAUCGAUUAGAUCGGGAAGAAGCUUUCUAUCAAUUUGUCAAUAACCUGAGUGACGAGGAAUACAGGCUUAUGAGGGAUAACAAUUUGCUAGGAACUCCAGGUGAAAUUACUGAAGAAGAAUUGCUGAGAAGGCUACACCAAAUUAAAGAAGGUCCACCACAGCAAAACAGUGAUGAGAAUAGAGGUGCAGAAUCCACUGAAGAUGUAUCUAAUGGAGAUUCCAUCAUAGACUGGCUUAAUUCUGUCCGACAGACUGGAAAUACAACACGAAGUGGGCAAAGAGGAAACCAGUCUUGGAGGGCAGUGAGCCGGACUAACCCUAACAGUGGUGAUUUCAGGUUCAGCUUGGAAAUAAAUGUCAACCGUAAUAAUGGCAACACCAAUUCAGAAACUGAAAAUGAGCCAUCUGUAGAACCUUCCAAUGGGGAGGAUUUGGAAAAUAGCCAAAGUGACUCUGACACCCCUCGGUCUGAAUCGCCAUCAGGAGGGCAGACUGCAUCUGAAAGGAAUACCUCUGAGGAAUUGGCAGCGGAGGAAGCUCCUUCACACAGAGGUCAGAGAAGAGCAAGAAGUAGGAGCCCAGAGCAGAGGAGAACACGAGCUAGGACUGAUAGAAGUAGGUCACCUAUUAAUCCAGUGAGUGAGGCUCCUCGCAGAUCUCAUCAUAAUACGUCAUCUCAGACAUUUGAUCAUUCCCCGGUAAAUGAAGCUGAGGGAAGUUCCAGAACCAGACAGCACGUGACAUUAAGGCAGCAUUCAACAGGGACUGAGAUGCCAAGUGAAAAUGCAGCUCUGUUUUCAACCCCUGAAGCAAGACCUGUUCCUCAAGCUGCUGGUUCUUCAGAAACUAAUGCCAGUGGUGAGUCUGCAGCUCCUGGACAGAGGCCUCCUACUAUAGUCCUUGAUCUUCAAGUGAGAAGAGUUCGCCCAGGAGAGUAUCGGCAGAGAGACAGCAUAGCGAACCGAACUCGGUCGAGGUCCCAGACCCCAAACAACACAGUCACUUAUGAAAGUGAACGGGGAGGGUUUAGGCGCACAUUUUCACGUUCAGAACGGGCUGGAGUGAGAACUUACGUCAGUACCAUUAGGAUUCCUAUUCGUAGAAUCUUAAACACAGGCUUUAGUGAGACUACAUCAGUUGCGAUUCAGACCAUGCUAAGGCAGAUCAUGACAGGCUUUGGAGAGUUGAGUUACUUUAUGUACAGUGAUAGUGAUGCAGAUCCUAGUGGCCCAGCCCCAAAUCAAAGUGGAGAUGCUGCUGAGCCACCAAGUGGAGGAGGAACAGGUGGUGGUAGUUCGAGUAGUGAAGGUACUGAUGCUAGCUCAGGGGAAGUCUAUGAAGGUAGUAAUGAAGGAGGUUCCACAUCCGGUGCUAGACGGGAAGGUCGGAAUACCAGGGGUUCGGUCACUUUUGAAGAAAGUGGUUCUCUACCAUUCCUUAGCCUAGCACAGUUUUUCUUACUAAAUGAGGAUGAUGAUGACCAGCCGAGAGGACUCACCAAAGAACAAAUCGACAACCUGACAAUGAGGAAUUUUGGUGAAAGCGAUGCCCUGAAAACCUGUAGCGUCUGUAUUACGGAAUACACAGAAGGCAACAAACUUCGUAAACUGCCUUGUUCCCACGAGUAUCAUGUCCACUGCAUUGACCGCUGGUUAUCAGAAAAUUCCACUUGUCCUAUUUGUCGCAGAGCCGUCUUAGCUUCUGGUAACAGGGAAAGCGUUGUCUAAGUGAGAUCUGAGCUUGUGGCCAAACAGCUGAUGUAAUAGUGAUGGGCAAAGAUGUCACUUCCUUUUUGGCCACUUUUUGAGUGGUGCCUACAUAUAAAGUAAUCACUUUGAGUGAAUGUUCCCUCAUGAAAACAUUUUCUCAGAUUCAAAGCUUUUAAAAUGGGCGUCUCUUUAGAGUCCCCAAAUCUAGUCAGUUUCAGCGUAUUGAAUUUUAUUUGCUCAAAGACACCUAUCUGCUCAAAAAAAAAACAAAAAAAAAUUGUUAAAAAAAAAAGUUUUGUGUUUUCUUUUCUUAUUAAGACUGUUAAGUUCCCUUCCCUAUUCCAGUGCGGUUUGAACCUUCAGGAUCUCUCCUGUGAGAACUUAUCUGAGAAGUCAUCCCAGUUACAGAACAUACUUCAUAAUGUGUUUUGUUUUUGUUUUUUUAAAUGGACUCACCUGCCCCAUUGAACUAGGAGCUCAGUUCAUCGGCAUCCUUAAAUAUCAUUUUAAUGUUUAUAUUGGGUGUUCUUUGACAUCUCUGUAAAUAACACUAACGUUAGUCCUUUUCCCAUCACUAUGGCACGCUGUAGAGUGAGCUAAUAGCUUAAUUGGGAUAUUUAUCUUGUUGUGGAAAUAUAAGAAUUGCCUAUGCUUGUUUAAAUAAAAAUAAAUUCUGUUUUAAAACUGUAAAGCUUUUUUGUAGAAGCUCAGUACUUUUUCCAAUGCACUGUUGUACUAAUGCAUUAAAAAUUAAAAUUGUACCAUGCUUAGAAAUGAAGAGAACGCUUUUCAUAUAAGACCCACCACACACAGAGCAAACAAUACAAGAGAGCUGCUUUUGUAAAUGUGUUAUUGUCAAGAGCAGUGCAUAUCUGUACUAUUUAAUUUAUGUGAACAGCUACUGUAACACAACAGUUAACAAUUAGACACCUUAAUUGCAUUAAAACUGAUGGAAAUUGAAUGUUAGCAUUGCAAUGUGUUGGCUCAGUACUGCCAUCAAAAAAUAUGAUGAUAAAAAAAAAAGUAGAAACCUGCUCUGAAGACUGUUCUUUUUGGGCUUUUUCCCCCCUUUAUAUGGUUACUUUGGUAAAAUAACAUAUCAUUUUAUUUACUGAGGAUUAUACUCCAGUUUUGUAUAAGCUGUAUUUUAAUCACUGGGGUGCUGUGUAUAAUUUCCAACCGACAGAUGUUGGCAGAUUUUCCUCAUUACAUGCCACAAAGUUAACUUCUGUGGAAUUUUUUUAGUGACUUAGCUGGCUAGUCUCCAGAGUCAGAGGUGGUCACCUGUGACCAAAGUGUUCCCAGCAGAGUGAUUGAUUUAAUGUUCAGGCAUAGCUGAGAAAUAAUCGUCUGAUGGGUUUCUCAAAUUAGUUGUCAGUCUUAAGAUUGGUAAUGGUUAUUUGAAUACAUUUUAAGAACAAUGUUAUGGGGCUAGACUUUGCAGUUUAUUUUCUUUAAAAUAAUAGGCAUCUUGAAUUCCUCUUUAACAUCUGCCUAAAAAUCAGUUGCAUGUUAUAUUGCAAGUAAAUGGAUGGCUUAUCAAAAUUCAAAUUGUGGAAAUACUUUUUACACUGUCACAAUUUUAAGUCUGCAUUGGAAAAUGUUUGUAGCUUAACUCUCGUUAGUAUUGUGGGAGGGCUGCCCUCACCCCAGUGAAAUAUUUCUUUUCUUUUUCCCUUGGGAAUUUUUUUUCAAUUCUGUUAAGUUUUUUGCAAGGAAAGCAAAGUUUUAUUUUAAGUACAAAUGAGUAGUUAAUUAGGAUAUGAACUGCUCUUGCUGAUGAGAUGGAAAAGGUUGGUUGAUCCUCAGAUGAAAAAACCAAAGCUGACCUUUCUUUAAAUUUAACAAAUUUUCAGUGUUUCCUAGUGGUGGUUACAUAGAAGAUCAUCUUACUAUUAAGCCAUUUUAACUUCCCAGCCAGUUCAGGAUUCCAGCCUUCUGGAGCUCUCCUGUUCUUCAAAGUGUGCAUUUUUCUUAUUCAAUCCAAUGGGUACCCCGGGAACCCUGACUGGCUACUGUGCUCGCUUUCCUCCAGGUAGAACACACCUUUGUAGUAGAUGGGGGUAUUUCUGGUAUUUUUUUAAACAGAAGCAUAUAUAAAUAAAUACAUAUUCUCUUACAAUUUCUCUACUUGGCAUACAUCAGUCUAUAAAAUGGGAGGUUAGGCAUCUUAGUGGUUGGCGUUACAUUCAUGAAUGUAGAUUACAAAAUCUUAAGCAAAAAUUUCUUCUGGUAAAUAUUGGAAAUGAUCACUUGAAUCUUUCCUAUAGCAAUCACAUGCUUUUUCAGUAACUUUACUGAUUUAUUGGACUACAGAACUUUAAAAUAUUUUCAUUGUAUUAUUUGCUACUCAAGGAUAUUUUUUGUUUUUUUAUGCAUCUUUAUGAGAACUAAGGGUAGUGACCAGAAUAAAAGCCCCCAGCAGAGCCAGUGGAGUAAGUCUGUAACGUCUGUCAUUUUAGCAGAGCCACUUUUCUACCAUAAUUUUCUUCUUAGUUUUCAAGAACUAAUGCUUCAGUAAAAUCACCUUUUUAGUCUUACUGUUCCUUAUUAGUGGCAUGCCUUAACAUUCUCUCUUAUGUAAUGGCAGCAAUGCUUGACUGUUUCUGGUUCCCAAGAAGGUACCAGAAAAAGUCAGUUCAGUGAAGAAUCCUUUGAAUGUUUCAAAUAUUUGUAAGUGAGCAUUGACUAUACCAGAAGCGCUAAGGUGAAGGACUUUUCUUCCAAGACAGUCAACAAGACUGCAGUUGCUGAUGAGGGGAAGAAACUUAAGCAAAUAAGGCCUGUAUCAAAUUUCUCAACAGUGCUGCAAGAUGAACACUGGCAUAUGACAGCUUUGAUUUAUAUCCAGGAACUCCUGGUGUUUAUGAACAAUCUGCUUCAUAAACAGUGCAAAACCAAAUCUGCGAAAAGUGCAGGCCUGACCCAGCAACAGAUUCUUGCUGGCUUAUGCCCUAAUAGUAUGAGGGAACUUGGUUAAUUCCUGUUACAGUGUUAGAAAGUGUAGAGCCAUUCUUUUAAAGUUUUGCUGGAGCUCUUGAAACGCUGGUGUAAACGCUUUAAUUGCCAAUGUCGUCUGCCUCUGCAUAACAGUCACUUGGGGUCGGCACGGUCACGGUUAGUUGGAGUUGUUUUGUUUUGAAUCACUGUAUUUAAAAGUAUAAGACUCCCUUUGUGCCAAGCAGUUCUAGUUGCAUCUGUAGCUUUCUCGAACCUAUUCUUUUCAGUAUUGGAAUCACAGAGGAAUGUGCACUAUUUUUGCACCAAUUUCACGAGCAGUCUCUCGCCACUCAAAAGGUUAAAAAAGCAUCCAUUGUCUCUCAAAUGCCCAUGUGCCCAGAUGAACAAAGGGGUGGCAGCCUUGUGAUACAUGUGCUGUUUUCAGCUCCUUGGUUCACAGUGCCAUCUUGUGGUAGCCUGUCUUACCCUCCUUUCAAAGCUGGGGGUAAAUGUGCAUCUUGGUUUUCACUAGUUGAGAACUUCUUUUUCUGCAAAUUGAGGUGGAUUUGUAUUUCAGGGUGCCCCUCUGCUAGUUUGUCACCAAAGUUGUUGCUGUUUACACACGCGCACGUGCGCAUGCACGCCUUCAUGUUUCAAGCAUCCCUCCUUUGGGCAGAUAUGGAAUUACCUCAGGAACUUCUUGCAGGGUUGAUUUUGAGUCCUCUGUGUCCGUGGCUGAACAGACUGUCUCCAUAGAUACUCAAGCGCCCAAAGGGUUUAAACAUAGAAGGCUGCACGUAAUCUUUUUGUAAGCGUGCUGCGUACUGUCCUACCCAAAUUGCAAAUCUGUGUGAAGUUUUAUUUUUGGUUUGCCUUCUAACGGAAAUAGAAACUCCCAGUCACAACUACUCAGUUUUCAAAGUUUUCCUUUUACUGGCACUUUUGUAACUUAACCCAGCUUUUUGCAAAUAAUAGGUUUCUCGUAGCUCAUUCAUUUUUUUUUUUUUGCUUGUUUGGGAAAUGGUUGCUGCUCUCCAUGCAUAGAGCCUCCUCGUUAAUGUAGGAAGUGCUCGUGUGCAUGCCUGGCAGCUGCACUGACGUGAUACUGUCCCAGUUCUGAAGGAGCCAUGAUGGUCCAUUGUGUCAACUUGCAGAGUCAUGUGUUCCUGACUCCAUUGACACAAUGUACUGGAAUGACUGUCAUUCCACGUGCCCAUCACUUUUCUGUGGAUUAUGCAAAUAUGUAGAGUCCAAAAAGACCCUUUCACCAGUAUAAUGUCAGUAAGAUGUUUAUCGUAAAAGGUUUGCUUACACGUCAAAGAAAUCCAUCUUCUACGCUGUGUUUAUAGUAGGUAGGGUCUAAUUCUAAGAAGAAAAAAGAAAUUCAUAGAUUCAUAAAUGCAGUUGAAGCUGACCAUUGGUCUACCAAUUUGUACCAAUGUGCCUAGGUAUUUUGUGGGUCUUCCAAAGGUGUGAUCUUAAUCAGCACAGUGAAGUAUCAAAUAUUUAACUGGCUGGGUUAAGCCACAGCCUUAACUCUUUCUUUGCUUUAAUUUGAGACCCUUACUAAUAUUGUAAAGUGUUCUUGUGUGUAACUGUUUGGUGUCUUGAUUUUUCUCACCUGUUUUCAUUCAGCCUUGGUUCUACUAUGGGGACUUAAGGGGCUUGAUUAGGGGUAUGUGGAUAGGUGUUAAGUUGAUUAGGUACACAGAUGUCAUGGACUGCCUUUACCCACUUGUUUGGCUACUCCCAGGAGGAGCUGCUUUGGGGGGUGGGUUUGCUUUGAGCCAUGUUAAUGGAAUUCAGCAACAGAUUCAGAAAUAUAUUUCACAUCUUCAGCAGCUUUUUUUGUUUGUUUGUUUAGGGGUUUUGAUGGGGGAGAGGAGACAGGAACAAAUCCAGUGGUAAUAAAGGUUACCCAAAGCACAGUAAAUUAUGUUUGUAUUUAAAAAUUAAAAAGUCUGAUUCUGUGACAUGAGGGCUUCCCAACCUUUCCUCCACUUAAGGAGCCUAUUUUUUUCAUGGGCCCAUUAUUGAAUUCUAUUUGGUUCUGUCUGGCUUUUUGUUCAUUUCAGCUACGAUUUCAAGACCCCUUCCUGAACCCCAGUAUUUACUAGUCAGUUCAUUGGUUGGGAAGCCCUAUACCAAACUGGGAAUGUAACAAGUUUCCUUCUUGUACAGUGUUUUACAUCUGUUUAUAUUGGACUUGUUUAGUACAAAAUGGUACUCUAAAAGGUCAUAAUAACACCAUUUGAUCAUAUUUGAUAACUAACAUUUAGGAAGAGUUUGUUCCCUGUGUAAGAUGUCAUAAUGCAAAUUUUAAACAAACUCAAUAAAAUGCAUGAAGUGAUAA